Molecule: ribosomal RNA, 253 nt
Filed under: uncultured prokaryote
Description: partial 16S ribosomal RNA
Rfam family: Bacterial small subunit ribosomal RNA
Source: RNAcentral
ACGGAGGGGACUAGCGUUGUUCGGAAUUACUGGGCGUAAAGGGUGCGUAGGUGGUUUUUUAAGUCUGCUGUGAAAUCCCCGGGCUCAACCUGGGAAUGGCAGUGGAUACUGGAAAGCUGGAGUGCGGUAGAGGGUAGUGGAAUUCCCGGUGUAGCAGUGAAAUGCGUAGAGAUCGGGAGGAACACCAGUGGCGAAGGCGGCCAUCUGGGACAACACUGACGCUGAAGCACGAAAGCGUGGGGAGCAAACAGGA